Molecule: long non-coding RNA, 609 nt
Filed under: Anser brachyrhynchus (Pink-footed goose)
Lineage: Eukaryota; Metazoa; Chordata; Aves; Anseriformes; Anatidae
Description: lncRNA (ENSABRG00000009313.1)
Source: RNAcentral
AUGGCAAUUUCCCAGGAAAUUCUGAUGCUCUGGCUCUUGAUUGUGCUUUUGCAAUCACUAGUUUUGAAACACUGGAAUCUUCUGGAAGAAAAAACAUUUUUUUAUUUUUUAACAGCUAGCCUCUCUAAUCAGAGAUCAGGACUUCUGCUCCCAAGCCUGCUGUUGCUUUGCUGUGUGAAGAGCUGUUUAUCGUCUGGGCACAGUACUGUCCCAUCGAAGAAACAGCGUUUCCACGUUCAGCCCCAUUUAAUGAACGCAAGUUUUGCAAGAUCCAGCUUCAAAGGCAGACCACUGGCAAAGGAAGGGGAAGGGAAUUGACUGAUGUGGAAAAUCGCACACUCUGGGCUUUUUGCACUGAUUGAAAGGUGUUAACCCCUGCCUGGCCAGCAGCAGUGUCUGGGGGGGAGCAAAACACCCUGGUGUAAUAGGGCAAGGUCUGGAUGAGUCCAAAUUGUUUUCUUGCAGAAAAAUAGGAUUUUGAAACAUUCAUCUCCCAGUCACUUUUUAUGGAUUGUUUCCAUUUUUGUGAACAAAGGCAAACACGCUAAGAGGAAAAUGGUUUUAACCGUUCAGCUUCACUUUGAAUGUUUCAGAGAAAAAAAAGAAAAA